Long non-coding RNA from Sebastes umbrosus (honeycomb rockfish), 440 nucleotides. RefSeq lists it as uncharacterized. The record is from RefSeq and is a predicted model, not a curated record. Lineage: Eukaryota; Metazoa; Chordata; Actinopteri; Perciformes; Sebastidae. The transcript is spliced from 3 exons.
GGCUAGCUCAGUUCGUACAGCGGGCGCCCAUGUAUGGCUAAGGCUGAGUCUUAGCCGCGGUCGACCCGGGUUCGAAUCCGGACCUGUGGACCUUUGCCGCAUCUCUCUCUCUCUGUUUCCCCUCAUUCCAUGACUCUUAGUCACCAAAAAAAAAAAAAAGGUCUAUAGCAUGUUAGGUAUGUUAGGAAUGUUAGCUUAGUAUAGUGCGUGAUGAAAAAAAUAGUGCGUGAUGAAAAGAUUUCGUGAUAAGUCAGGAUGUUAGGUAUGUUAGGAAUGUUAGCUUAGUAUAGUGCGUGAUGAAAAAAGUCGUGUUAAAAAAAAAAAAAAAAAAAAGUCAAUAGUAUAGCAUGUUAGGUAUGUUAGGAAUGUUAGCCAAGUAUAGUGCGUGAUGAAAAGAUUUCGUGAUAAGUCAGGAUGUUAGGUUAGGUUUUUUAAAAAAA